This 253-nucleotide ribosomal RNA is filed under the name uncultured bacterium. RNAcentral's name for it is "partial 16S ribosomal RNA". It matches the Rfam family "Bacterial small subunit ribosomal RNA", at positions 524 to 776 of the family's 1533-position model. The record is from RNAcentral.
UACGUAGGGUGCGAGCGUUGUCCGGAAUUAUUGGGCGUAAAGAGCUCGUAGGCGGUUUGUCGCGUCUGCUGUGAAAACCCGGGCUCAACUCCGGGCUUGCAUUCGAUACGGGCAGGCUAGAGUUCGGUAGGGGAGUCUGGAAUUCCUGGUGUAGCGGUGAAAUGCGCAGAUAUCAGGAGGAACACCGGUGGCGAAGGCGGGACUCUGGGCCGAUACUGACGCUGAGGAGCGAAAGCGUGGGGGAGCAAACAGG